GGCGGAUUCGUCUAAUCGGACAGGACAAGAGGCUCUCAACCUCUAAAUGUCGGGUUCAAAUCCCACAUCCGUCA
RNAcentral lists this transfer RNA (74 nucleotides) under Ruminococcus flavefaciens 007c. It matches the Rfam family "tRNA". Rfam says of the family: Transfer RNA (tRNA) molecules are approximately 80 nucleotides in length. Their secondary structure includes four short double-helical elements and three loops (D, anti-codon, and T loops). Further hydrogen bonds mediate the characteristic L-shaped molecular structure. tRNAs have two regions of fundamental functional importance: the anti-codon, which is responsible for specific mRNA codon recognition, and the 3' end, to which the tRNAs corresponding amino acid is attached (by aminoacyl-tRNA synthetases). tRNAs cope with the degeneracy of the genetic code in two manners: having more than one tRNA (with a specific anti-codon) for a particular amino acid; and 'wobble' base-pairing, i.e. permitting non-standard base-pairing at the 3rd anti-codon position. Lineage: Bacteria; Bacillati; Bacillota; Clostridia; Eubacteriales; Oscillospiraceae. The record is from Rfam by way of RNAcentral.